RNAcentral lists this long non-coding RNA (19488 nucleotides) under Lynx pardinus (Iberian lynx). Lineage: Eukaryota; Metazoa; Chordata; Mammalia; Carnivora; Felidae. The record is from RNAcentral.
CCCACUCACCCUCUUACAACCUGGAGCCUUCCCUCCACCCACAAGGUCUUUUAUUCUUUGGCAUUUUGUUCAUUCUGUCACAAGGUCUUCUUGUCCUACCCCUGGGCUGGCUUCUCAAUCCCUUCCCUCUGCUUUAGGAAGCUGUCUCAUGCUGAUCUGCUUGUUUUGGUCUUGGGGGCUAAAUGUGUAUGUGGUGGAAACUCGUCUUGGUAUUUAUCCCAGUGCCUGGUACAGUGUGAGUUAAUGAACAUGUAUGUCCUGAAGAAAACUACCACCACUACCACCAACCUUCUCGCCUUUCCCUGCUGUGUCCCCUUACUACAGUGUUCCUGGAUCUGUCCACGGUGCUGAAUGUCUUUAUCCUUCUUGCCACUGCCUGCCUCAGAAUGGCUACUUCUAGAAGGUAAGAAUCAUUUCUGUGUCCUAGAAUUAAAUCUCUCAAUCAAUGCCCACCUCUGUCUCCGUCCCUCCCUCUCCUUCCUUCCCUGUCUUCCUCUCCUUACCUCUGUCCCUCCUCUCUCCAUCUCCUCCUCCCUGCCUUCCCCCAUCGUUCAUACAGAUCAUUAGGCUGUAGUAUUUAAUGAAAACUAAUAUGUGGUGAUGUAUACUAAUUAGGAUUAGGUUAAGUGGUAUGCAUCAGAAUGCCCAAAAACAAGGGUCUUUUAUUUUUUUUUUCUAAUGUUUAUUUAUUUAUUUUGAGAGAGAGAGAGAGAGUGAGCUGCAGGAGGGGCAGAGGGAGAGGAGAGAGAAAAUACAAGCAGGCUCCCUGCUGAAAGCAUAGAGCCCAACUCAGGGCUUGAUCCCAUGAACCCUGAGAUCAUGACCUGAGCUGAAAUCAGGAGUUGGAUGCCCAACUGACUGAACCACCCAGGCACCCCUGAAAGUUGAAAAACAAGGGUCUUUUAAAGGAUAAAAAAAAUAAAAGUUCAUUUUUCAUUAAAAAAAAAAGUCCAGAUGUAGACAGUCCAGAGUCUGAAUGGUUUCUCCACAUUCAUGAGAACCAACACUCCUUCUAGCCCCCCACUCUGCCUUCCCUAGGGUAUAGUCCUCAUUCUUUGGUACAAAAUGGCUGCUAGAGCACCAGCCAUCACAUCAGAUACCAAGUGGAGACAGAAGGUAAAUAAGGGGGCCACUUCCCUUACUUUUAUCCAGCACUUUCACUUAUAUGGCCACAUGUAACUAGCUUCAAAGAGCAUGGUAAAUAAGUCCUUUAACUUGGAGGCAAUGUGCCCAGCAAAAGGUUAUAGUCAUUACUAUUGAAAACGAAGGAAAAAUAGCUAUUAAAAAGUAACUGGGUAUCUCUGACAGUGGUAUUGAUGGCGACAGUGACUGUGGCAUCCUAGUUGUAGUGUUGACGGUGGUAAUGCAACGGUAAUGGUGGUGGUAAUGGUAGUAGAAGGGGUGAUAAUGGUGAUGGCGGUCAUGAUAAUAGUGAUGGUGAUGAACAAAGAGAUAAUGGUGAGAAUGGUGAUAAUAAAGCUGGUGGCCAAUAUAAGCUUUGGUCCAGGAACACAGACUCACUCAAGCAUCAGCCUGGCCCAGGAGAAUACCAGAAGUUGGACCCAAGAGACUGCAAGGCAUCUGGAGCUUGGAGUCUGCUCCAAGCCACAGGGGCACUGCUACUUUUCAGUGCAUCAGCCAUGAGCCUCUUGCCUUCUUAAGGCCAAGUCACCCCCGAGCAAAGCAUGAAUCAGAUUCCUCCCAUUUAGGCUGGAAAUAACUCUGGAAUGAAAACUUAAGGCCUCAGGGAAAUGAAGCAGCAAGAGUGAUACUGGACUUCCAUUUAUUAGACAAUAAACACUGAUGGAAUUUGUUGUUGCAGUCAGAGUUGGCUUUGCUGUGAAGUACACAGGGAAACACGUGGAUAUGUAGUCUCAAAAACAGGAAUAAAUGGUUCCAAGGACAGACAUACAGAGAGAGUUACAGAUUUGCAGAAAGAAACAGCCCAUAGUCCUGGAGAUGCACAGACACAUUUAGUAUCCUAAGGAGGCACGAGGCCGACCCCUCUCCCCAGAGACACAGGCUGUCCAGCCAUCUUAUUCCAUGGGACAACUUUCAUUUUACCCCUGGGUCCCUUGCACUGAAGGUACCAGGGACCAGAAGUGACCUUGAUGAGGGGGCUCAGAGCUCAGCAGCCAAUCAGAGAAGGAAACAGUGUGACCUUUGAUACCCAUCCCACCUGCAGUGAGGUUGCGCCGGUGUUCCACGGCCUGCCCCAGGCCGGCCCAGGUUCUGUGGCUGAAGGUGACCAGAGCAGUGGGACUUGGGUUGGAGGGGGUGUGUCCUCCAGGAUGUCUCCCCCAGGGGCCCAAGGACACACCUGGAAGCCAUUAGCAGAGGAGCCAUCAGGCAGCAGGCUCUGGCUCCAGGUGAGAAGGCGUGAUGAAAACAUGUGGCAGCUUCCUGCCCGCUGGAGAUGGAGGGUGGAGGACACCUUGGCCUGAGUAAUUCCAGCAUCACUCCCCUGGCACCCACCUAGAACGUAAAGGUCACCACAGGCUUUGGUUCUCAAGACGGUUGGUGAGCCCACCUCCUGAACCUUUGACACCAUAUUUCUUGACCAUUCACGGUGACCCUUCUCUUCUAGGAAGCCUUCCUAAUGACUCCUCUGCCUCCUUUGUCUCUUUCUCUGCUUCUGCUCAGGGCUCCUCCAUGACAUCCCCCUGACCUGCCUACCCUUUCCACUGAUGUGUGAUUCCUUAUAAGUGGCACCCCUGCCUGGCUGUAGCUACUGUGGCUCUUCUCCUCUCCGUCCACUGGGAGCAGCUUUACUUCACCGUGGUUUCCGUUGUUUCUUAGUAAUUGAAGAUGUUCAGGUCCUACCUUAGGUCUUGGCCCCAUUUGCUGCUAAUCCCUGGCCCUGGGACUCCUGACUCACUCAUUUCCCAUCUCUGGUGUGCUGGAGCUCCCAGCUCAUGAAGGAGCCUGCAGAGAGCCCUGCUCUUUGCAGUUAGACCAUCUAUUACCACGAGACUGGGCCCCCAAAACUGGAGGUUCUUGCCACCCCAGAGCCGCUUCUGCCUUUCUAGUCUUACGUUGGUCUUUUAUCAGGAUGGUCUAGUGCUGGUUUCCCCCAGUAGGUCAGGUUCUAAGUCCCUAGAUUUCCCUAGCUGUGUCCCAAAAUGAUAGAGAAAGUGUUCAGCUUCAGGUGCACUGGGUAGCUUCCCCCAGCUCUAUAAAGGCACAAUAUCCCUGGGGAUCUUUAGGAGCUCGUCACUCUCUGGAAGUCUGUGGGUGGGCAGGAAGACCUUGAAAGCUGGCCAGAACACUGAUUGCUGGACGCCCCACAUAUUCCUGGACUUAAGACAGGAACCUCAGGACAGAUGGGUGGACAGCAGCCUGCAGAGUUCCCUGUUGGGCCAACCCCAAAGUCUGUGCCUCAGCAGCUCCCAUGACACACCCAGGAUAAAUAGCUCUCACCCCUCCUUAGUGCAUUGCCUGCCUAUGGUGGGGGCUUCAGCUUGGCUCUGCCAGUAUGUCCCCAGCACUGCCCUGGGAAAGGAAAAAAGAAGCCAGUUGGAAGUUCAGAAAAGGAAAGGCUAAAAAGGAGCCCACAAUCGGCCCUAAUUAGCCACUGGGAGAGUGAAAAGGAGGUCAGAGGCCUGAGUCUACUUCUGAAAGAAAGCACCUGGCAGGCAGAGGCAUGGCUGGUCUGUACCCCCACACUACACAGCACGGGGCUUGGCCCCACGCAAGCCCAUCCGACCCUGGCUCUUAGGACCCCCAGCUGGGGAAGGUCUCGACAUCUACACACCUACCCGUAGAACUGUCAUGGCCCACUCCUCUGAAAGAAGCAGCUGGCUAUGGGGAAAGAGGGAGGGAGAUGGGAGGGAGGGAGGGAGGGAAGGCAGUCAGACGUGAGUGAGCAUCCACUGUAUGCAGUGCGCUGAGUUGAGAGGUUUACAUACAUGAUUGUAUUUAAUUUUCACAGUGGUCCUGAAAUGGAGGUACUUUGGCCUCAAGUUUUAAAUAAAGAAGUGGACCCUCAGGUUAAGUAGUUGACCCAAGAUCACACAGCUUAAAAGGGGCCGAGUGGAGAGUCCAGCUUAGGCCUGUGCUCGGCAGCCUGUGCUCUUGGUGCUAUAAAAUGAGUGCUUGGAGGGCAGAGCCCUCGCCUGCAUCAUCUCCUGUGCCCCAGUGCUCGGCCCGGGGAGGGGCAGGCACGUGGCAAGUGCAGAGAAGAGCUGUUGUACUCAACAGGCAGGACAGGCUGAACCAGGGAAGGACAUAAAAAGGCGGGGAGGGAGGGAUAUUGGAGGCAGUACAGAGACAGAUCACUUCCAUCCCCUGGGACAUCAUGCAGGGGACCCCUGGGGCAGCUUUCCUGGGGCUGAGGACAGUGCCGGACUGAACACAGCUUGUGCCUGGCCGUGGGGGAGGCAGGGGAGGAAGAAGUGAGGGAACAGUGCAUUUCUCUCUCCCUCUUUGCCACUCCUCCUACCCUCCCGCCCACCCCAGAUGGUUAAGCUGAAGCAGAAAACAAAAUGAAGAACCUUUAGCCCCUGCUGGAGCCAAGCCACCUCUGCUUAGCUCGGGCAGAUCACCAGCAGACCAGCUGGGCCAGGGCCAGGCUGUGGUCCAGAGCGGGCUGGGGGGCAUUGAGGAGAGGAUACACUAGGCCUCAGGGCAGGGCCACUGUGGGCACAGCACCUUUCCAUGCAGGCUGAAUGUUCUGGCAGCGGCUGAAUGUUCCUAAAAAGGAGAGGGGCAGCAGGAUGGGGAGAGGGAAGAGGACCCUCCUUUGGCCCCGCCUGUGAGCACCCCAGCAGUAACUGGGGAGUAGGAGAGAACACAUUUUGGGUGAGGCAGACUUUACAUAGCUACUGUCUUUACAGCUUUACAUCCUCAAAGGUAGUGACUCUCAGUCCUGAUUUUAAAGAUGAGGAAACUGAGGCCCAGAGAGGGUAAGUAACUUGUCCAAGGCCACAGCGUGAGUAGGAGGAGGGCUGAGAUUCCACCCCCAGCCGUUUGGCUCCAGGCCUGCUUUUAAUCAUCAUCAUCUCCUGAGAGGAACAGCAGAAGCUUGCCUGUCUGCACCCACCAGCAAUUAGGGGCCCCUCGGUAUUGUGAAAAAUGUCAGUGGAGUGUGUCUGAUUAGGCUCAUCAGUGCCCAGCAUGGGACACAUGUGUUUUUAAGAUGGAUCACCAUUAUCCUUGGCUGAAGAAUUGCGUGGGGUUUUCUAAUUACAAAUUAUUCCUGCUGGAUUUCAUUAUGCUCCCUCUUGUCUGGCUUUUUAUGUUCUCCAUCUUACAAAACUUUGAAAAUCAUAGUUGGCUAAGCUUAUUUUCUUGGUCUUAAAAUAUACAGCUAAGCUUUUAUUAAGGCACAAUGUUGUUAUAUUUUUAACAAGUGAAUGUUUGACUCAAUAUUACAAGAAGGCAGCGAUUAUUUGAAAUUCACCAUUCUACAUUUAUAACAAGUCGAAAGAGCAGGAUGGAAAUUUACCUUCCUGUAGAAAACCUUCAUUCAUUUGGAAGGCAGAUUUCCACCUCCCUGUGGUAGAGGGAGGUUCUCAUUUAAGUGUUUUGCACUGCUUUCAGCCAACGGCCAACUGUUGUAGGCAAGUGGCCUGUGUUAGAUCAUUUCUAAGUGAGACUUUUCACUGAAGACUAAAAAUUCUUCAGACUUAACAGCAUUAACAAAGACAGAAAAAGAAUGGCUUGUAUCAUUGAAAAAAGAAGACGAAAAUGCAGUGCUCACCAGGACCCAGCAGAAGUUUACUUAAAGGAAGUCAGGCUAAUCUCCCCUCUCUCCUCCUUUGGGAGACCCUGAAUGAUGAAUCAGGGGUCUGUCAAAGUCCUAAGAAUCUUGGUUUCAAAAAGGCAUUUGGGACAUCUCCUAAGGUGUUUUUAUGGCAAGACAAGGGGCGGGAUCAAAUAGUGAUACUCUAGGGGAAUCCCUAGCUGCCUGGACAGCUGGUGGAGGAAAAUUGAUUAGUGGAUCAAUGGCAGUCUGGAGGGCAGACUGUAGCCCUGCCCGUGGCUUAGUCUUCCGUGCUGACAUGCUUGGUCUGAUGUAUUUUUGAAGGACUUAGAUGAAACCAAAUAAAACGUGUAUCAGAUCUGCAGGCAGAAGGGUGACGAUGUCAGGUGGCAGGACUGGGUUUCAAAAUGAUUUGGAUUGACUUGAUAUGUAGGUGACAGCCAUAGGUUCAAGUUCAUGGAAGUAAAUGCUAGGUUCCUAUUAGGGCUCAAAGGUUGGGGUGGGGAGAGGAAAAGGAAUUAUUGAGCACAUACUGUGCUCACAUACUGUGCCAUAACUUUUGCAUAAGGUAGCUCACUUAGUUAUGAAAACUCUCGAAGGAGGACAUUGCUCUCAUUUUUUUAAACAUUUCUUAAGUUUAUUUAUUUUGAGAGUGAGAGAGUGUGAGAGUGCCACCAGGAGAGGGACAGAAAGAGAGAGAAUCCCAAGCAGGCUCCAUGCUGUCAGCGCAGAGCCUGAUGUGGGCCUUGAACUCAGGAACUGGGAGAUCAUGGCCUGAGCCGAAGUUAAGAAUCCAAUGCUUAACCGACUGAGCCACCCAGGUGCCUCCGUUCUCGUUUUAUAGGGGAAGAAACUGAGGCCCCGAGAGGUUGAGCGUUUGCUUGAGGUCACAGCUAAUAAGCAGAGGAGCUGAGGCUGGUCAGACUCACAGGCCCACCUUCUCACAAAAUGUCAAAGACAAAGGAGACAGAGCUUAAUGGCAAUUAUGUGCAAAGAAAAGAAAAACACACGUUUAUGUGAUGUUAGUCCCAUAUUGUAAUGCUGAGCCUUUUCUGAGCCUCUCUUUUGGGGCCACCCUGGACCUGGGCUUGGGGCGCAGAGGGAAAAACAUGUCCCUCCUAAGCAAGUAGAGCUGUUAGGGGAGGAGAACCCAACACAACAACAGGCAAAUUGGUAGCGCCGGGUGUCUUCCAUGCCACGGGAGCCCUGGGAAAACGGGACUCCUGCUUCAGGGAGUCCUGGCACACUGCACAGAGGAGGCAGUACCUGGCCUGAGGCCUGAGGAUGACUGGCUUGUCUGGGAGCCCAGGGAGCACAUGGCUUGCAGGUCCAGAUGGAGUGUACCAGUCUGGGCACUUCAUUUCUUUCAUCCUUCAGCUCUGAGCCCCACUGUAAGGCCCAGGAAGAAUCUGGGCUGAGGAGAUGGGGAGGUUUGCCCAUUCUCCACCCCCAGCUCCCAGACCAGGAAUGGAAGAAGAGAGCAGGAGGGGAGCGGGAGAUCUGGAAGGCAUCUGGGAGCCAGAGUCAGGGCUUUCCCUCUGGGAACACUGGGAGGUUCUGGGACCUUGGGCUCCAAACCUGCCGGUUACUUUGUAACCAUAGGCUAUCUCCACAGCUGUUCCUUCAAGGGCCAGAGAUUGGUGCUCAGGGCCAGGGAACAUGCAAAGAACAGAUGUCCUGGGUGUCAUUUGGAAGAGAAAAGGAGGGCAACCCAAGUCUUUGAACCCAUGGGGCAUCCAUGUGAAUAGCACGUGCAGAGGCCUGAGGUCAGGGGACAAGGCUUGAUGGGCCAGAGAUGGGAGGGCAGGAGAUGGAGGAGGGGGGUUGCUGAGAUACAGUUGGCGAGGUCUGCAAAGGCCAGGCCUUGCAGAUCUUGUCAAGAUUUUAACCUUUAUCCCAAAGGCAAGGAGAAGCCACUGAAGGCUUUUAAGCGGAGAGGUGAUCUUUCAGGAUCUUUCAGGAUCUUUCCUUUCAGGGGCUGACUGCAAGAAGACAAAUGAGGUGCCUGGGGUACAGGUGGGUGACAAUAGCACUGGAGCUGGGUGGUAGUGUGGAGGCGGGAGGGGUGGUAGGCUUGUCACUCGGGGCCUGGUGACCAGAUAGUGAGGCAGAGGAGGGAUGGCUCCAGGAUGUCUGGCCUGUGGAUGAUGGGACCAUCCAUUGUGAGCAGAAAGACCAGGAAAGGGGUGGGCAGAGAGCGUGAAUUCGGCCUUGGUGCUGAGGAAUUAGAGAUACUGAGGUAUCCAAGUGGAGAUGUUGAAUGGACAGUGGGAUAUUUGUCUGGAGUUCAGGAGCUGUGUCAGGGCUGGAAAUGCAAAGCUGGCGUUGUCAGUAUUUAGGUGGAAUUGAAGCUGCCUGCUUACUGAGAGCCCCCAUGGGUCCGUUGUCUGCUCUGAGAGGCAGACCCCCCCACCCAACCCUGCCCCAAAGCUAGCUCAGGACUGCCUCUGGGCUUCCACCGCUUUUCCCUGCAGCGUUUGGUCGUGUCUGUCUCCCCACUUCAAUGGCAAGCUCCAUGAGGGCAGGAACCAGAUGUAUCUCUGCAUCCCCAUCAGCACAGAUCCUGGCAUAGAGGAGGCAUCAGUGGCAAUUUGAUAGUUGAUGCAUGAAGCAGCUCUCAGAGGAAUAGGCUGCCAUAGAAGGGAAUGAGUUUCCUGCCCCAGAAGGCACAUGAGCAGGGGUUCUAUGGGGCUGUGGGGAGUAAGGGAGAUUCCUAUACCCAGCAGGUGUCCUCUGGGGACCCUCUCUGCCCUGGAUUCUAGCUUCCCAGGACCUGAGUCAUUUCCCCUAGGGAGUAAGGAGUGUCAUUUCCUCUUAUCCCUGAGUCCAGAGUUUGGGCUGGGACUCUCUGUGGUUUCCUCCUCCUCUGGAGAGGUUUCUGGAGGCUGUGCUGACCUCAGCAGGUGCUCCCCUCCCCCACGAGCCUCUCAAAUCUGGAGCUCCACCCAAGCGUAGAUGCCUUGCUGGGGUUUGCAGAAGCUGCUGAGGUAGCUUUGGCCUCGGCUGCUAGAACUGGCCGCCUGCCCUGCCCAGGCUCCUCGACCUCAGCCUUGGCCUGAGCCCUCCUCCCUCCCUAGCCACCUCUGCUCUACCCCACUGCAUUCUUUGCUGCAGCAGCUUGGUCACUGCAAGAGCCAGAGUGGGUCUUAGCCUGGAGAUCCUGGGAGCUUUAUAGGAAGGAGGCAUACCUGGAACCUGGAGGAAAGGGAACAGAUUAGUUAAGAAGCUGGGAAGGGAGUGGGAAGGGGAGGGGUCUGGAAAGGGGCUAAGGAGGCACAGAAUGUCUCCAUUGCUUUGGAGCACCUUCAAGAGUAUCUGGCUCCCUCAUGUGGCUCCCUCAUUUCUCAGAGAGAAACUGAGGUGCAGGGGAGGCAGGUGGAAAGACUCCUCGUGGGGGAGAUUGGAGUGGAGGAUGCAUCGGGCAUAAGGAAGCUCCAUAUGAUUGGGGAGGUGGAGAAGGAGAGGGAGCAGAGGGCCCUGGAGGCCAGGGAAGGCCAUGGUAGUUGACUGUUCCACCUGGAGUAGGUGUUGGAAAGGUAUGGGAGUCCUGGGACAGAACUUUCUGGAGUCAAGGCUGGCUGAGACUGAUUUCCUCCUGUAUGAGAAUCAGCCCCGCUCUCCUGUCUUUUCUUCCCAUCUCACUGGGAACUUCUGUAAAAUAAGGACCCCCUCUUCCAUCUGAUUGAGACAUUCCUAAGGUAGGGAAUAGUCUGGAGGCUCCCUGAGAUUGGAGGACUGCCUCCCUCACCAGACUGGGGCCAGGACAGGACUGAACAUCCAUCCUCCGUCCAUCCACAGCACUGGGAGCUGGAGCAGUGCAGGGAAGAGAGGGGACUGGGGGCUUGCCCCUCAGAUACGGAGACGCAGAAGACACCUCAGAGGGGCUUAAAUUUGACACAACUGACCAGCACUGCCCCAUUCAGAGAGGAGAAGGCGAACCUUAAAGCCUGUGAGAUGAGAGAUAAAACCAACAGAGAGAAUUUCAGCUCCGGGGGCUGAGUCCUUACCUUACAGCGUAGCAGGGCCUGAUAAGGUACACGUUGUUAGAAGAGGUGGGAAUGUUGAGUUAUUCCCACCCUGGCUCGGAGCGCUCAGCCUGAGAUAACUGUGGUGACUGUGGUCCAUGCCAGCUGGGCUAGCUCUGGCAGCAGACACUGCAGGGGACUGCCAGGCUGCCCCAGAAAACCCAGAACUACGUUGACUUCCAAACCACUACAGGACAGGACUACAGGAACUUAAAGAACCAAAGCACGGCCUUGCCAUCUCUUUGUUAAUAUAAUUUUAUGCCUGUUUUUUUUCAAAGUUAUUUUGCUUUUUUUCCCAGAGUGUGCUCACUAUAGAAAAUUUGAAAAAUGGAAGGUAAAAAUAAACACACCUAUGAUCCCACUAUCCAGAGACAUUUUUGACAAAUUUCCUUCCCAUCUUUUUUCUAAGCGUAUGUUCUCCAUAAUUGUGUUAACGCUGCUCUAAUCUUUAAAACUUUUACUUUUAUUUUUUUCUUAUGAUUAUUAAGGGAAAGCAUGCUGUUAGUUUAAAUCUUUUUUUAAUGUUUAUUUGCUCUUGAAAGAGAGAGAGAAACAGAGCAUGAGCGGGGGAGGGGCAGAGAGCAAGGGAGACAGAAUCCAAAGCAGGCUCCAGGCUCUGAGCUGUCAGCACAGAGCCCGAUGUGGGGUGAGAUCAUGACCUGAGUCCAAGUCGGACCCUUAACCUACUGAGCCACCCAGGCACCCCUAGCAUGCUCUUAGUUAAAAAAAAAAAAAAGCAUAGGAAAACAUGAAAAAGGAGGAAAAAAAAAACUACUCAAUAAUCCCAUUAUCCCAUCAAUCAUUUUGUGAAGACAUUGGAGUAUUUACUUCUUGACAUUUUUCUGUGCCCCCACAUGUUUUUGUUUUUGUUUUUGUUUUUGUUUUACAUGUUAGGAACCAUAAGUACAGUGAUUGGUUUACAGUUUGGGAGACAGCACGAUGUCUUUAUAACAACAACAAAAACCCACCUGUAUUCAAAUCCUGGCUCUAUCACUCAUUAGCUGAGUGGCUUUGGAAGUUACUUUCACCUCUAAAACCUUAGUUUCCUCAGCUAUCAAAUGAGAUCAACCAUUAUCCAGUUAGAGAAUUGCCUUGCAGAUCUGUGUAUAUAAAACAUCUGGCAAUGCAUCCCAUACUUAGUGAGUCCUCAAUAAAAAUGUAGUGGACACUUGUCACAUUUUUUGCUGCCUAAAACGAAUCCAUUUUUAUAUUUUGAAUGAAUCCCCCAGGAGGUGAAGCCUUUGGGAGCUAGGACCCCACCUUCCAUUUCAAAGCCGAAGGGGUUCAGAUAACUCUCCCACUGUCACCCCCUGGCAGUUUGGCCAGCCAUUCCUGGCUCAGGACUUCGAUGUGACAGUUAGUGAGGCUGGGAGGAAGAUUCAUUAGAAUACAUCUGUGCUCAUGCCAUGCAGCAGUGCAACAUCUGGAGGUGUGCUGUGGAGAUGUUCAAAGGCCAUGCCAGUAGAGGCGUUGGGACCAGCUGUUCCUAUUGUAUGACCUUGGCUGUGAAUUCAGGUGCCCACUCUUUUGAUUCUCCAGCUUUCUCAUCCACUCUGAGAUGCCCAGUGGAACUGCUAAUAAUUUUUUUCUGUUUUGCUUUGUCUGAGUCCAUUGCUGUUGCUUGCGACCACAAAGGUUAGUUCCUAAAUCUUUCAACAGUGAAAUAAAUUUCAGGCACUGGCUUUACCUACCAGCCAAAGUUUUAACGCAGACAAUUCCUGGAUAUGCUAGAAGUGUUGGGCUUACUGCUGGCCCUUUGGACAACAAACAGGGUGAUCCUAGAUCUGUGCCUCACUGCUCAGCCCAGAGCCUGCCUGGAGAGAGGAGUUACUCAGAGCUGCUGAAGGCAAGAAUGAAGGAAAGGAGGGAUUUCUACAUGCCCGCUUCCUACAGGCAGCUUGUGUGUGGUUCACUUGGAUUCCUAAGGCUCCUUGGACCUCCACCUGCUUUAUCCUGUGACUUAAGCAGCCUGAAACCUUUGCAGCUCAUUUUCUUCCCCUCCAGACUUGGGUUUCCCGUAGGAUGGCAUGCUGGAGGUAAAAACCCUGGCUGUGUCCUUCCAGUCCAACCUCCUAAACAUUUCUUAAUCCAUACCUUACCUCCGUCUCCAGGAUAUCAUCUCAGCCCACCCUUAUGGGGCCCUCACUCACCAUUGGGCUGGUCUUCAGGAGGCCAGUUAGGUAUCAGGAGCAGGUCCCCAGGGGCCAGCUCAAAUUUAACCAGUAAGAAUGCUUGCCUGGGUAUCUUAGGCAAGGGGCUGCAGGCAGGCCCAGCCCACAAGUGGAACUCCAGAGAUAUCAGCCAGGCCUGAAUCCCACCUGGAGCCUGGCAUACUGUCAGUGUUCAGGAUUGAACAGAGACUCUGGGAUUAUUGCUUCUGUCCUUUCUUGGCAUGCCAUCGGCAGUGAGACCUGGACCUGGCUAUCUCUCCUGCCUCAUCUCCCCCAUUCCUGCCUUAUGCUGUAGGCUCCAUCCACAUCAACUAGUUCCCUGAGUGUAUGCCAAGCUGUCUCACUGCCGUGCCUUUGUACAUGCUGUUCCCUCUACCCAAGGCCCUCCCUUAACCAGGUCAGCCUGAAGAACUCCCACUAAUCCAUCCUUCUUAUCAGGCACACUGAAUGCAAGUAUUGCCUCCUCUAGGGAGCCUUCUGGAACUGGCCCUGGGAGGCCUCCCUCACUGUGCCCCCUCUGGACCCUGCCCCUGCAGUCCUCUGUUAUACUGCUUGGCACAGAGUGUUGCAGGUAUAUGUCUUCCUCAGAAGGCAACACUUAUGAGGGAACUGGACUUGUUUCUCUCUGUACCUUCAGUGCCUAGCCAGGAUCUGGCACAGAGGGAAAUCCAGGACGUGUUUGUUUCCUUUCUACACACCCCCACUGCCUUGGAGGUAGGAGAUGUGGUGGGAGAGGCUGCAGGACCUUAAAUGCCAGCUAAGGAGAGAGGCGUGGUCAGAUUUUCACUGUUGAAUGAUUCUAGUGGCUGGGACCCCUCUCAUUUGGGGUAAGAAGAGUAAUUUUUCAAUUUGGCUCUCUCUCAGCCCAGAAAACAGGGGGUUAGUUCUCAGCAGGAACACGAAAGAUGGGCCUUUACCUGGGGUCAUCACUCCUUCUUUCCCUGGACCCCCUUGCCCUUUCUGCAUUCACUUUUAACUCUUGAAGUCUCUCCCCAAAGGCCUGGGGUCUAGGACCCACACCCACUACUCAAGGGCCAAGUGCAAACCCCAAUCCCCUGUUAUGUAAGUGAAUUAUCCUCUGUUCCCAACCAGCGCCAGCCAGAUCUCCUCCUCCUAAUUGAUUUAAUCUUCUCAUACCAGAGAGUUGGGCGGGGCUGGGGAGACAGCACUGAUCAGAAGCCAACACGUCAGUGACGUAGGCUCAUUAAUUACAGGGAAUCUAGGUCAUGGAUUGGCUCUGCGUGGCUCUGAUCCUCCCCCUCCCCAGUCAUUUGGGUCUCUGAAAGGACAUUUUCACCUCCUCCUCAUUUCUCAAACCCAGUCCUACAGGGACAGAAAGUUGAGGGUCCCAUAAGCACUACCUUUCUCUCAAAUCUCCCCAAAAUCUCAGCUCUGGCCAGCAUUCCAAUCUGAGCACAGGGCACAGCCUAACAUUUAUUGAGAAAUGAAGAGAUGAACAGAUGAUAUAAUUUGGGGGUGGGAAGAGACCUUGGCGUUGCCUUUUUAAAAAAUUUUUUUAACGUUUAUUCAUUUUUUGAGAGACAAAAGAAAGAGUGUGAGUGGGGGAGGGGCAGAGAAAGAGGGAGACACAGAAUGGGAAGCAGGCUCCAGGCUCUGAGCUGUCAGCAUAGAGCCCGACAUGAGGCCUGAACUCACAGACCAUGAGAUGAUGACCUGAGUCAAAGUCAGAUGCUUAACCGACUGAGCCACCCAGGUGCCCCGGCGUUAUCUUUAUUUACUUUCUACACCAAGCAAAUCUUCACUUUGCAGCUUCUCUGAUAGCGGAUGUCCAGAUCUUACUUGUGUACCCCCAGCGAUGGGGGGCUCACUCCCCUGAGAUAGCCCUUCCCUUGUAUGAUGGCCUUUCUCAAAUGGGGCUGAGACAUCAGCCUUGUGACUUCUGAGACCCAGCUUUGCCUCUGGGGCCACAGGGCCUGCCCCAGAACAGGCAGCCAGAUCCUGAGAUACGGUGAUUGCUCUUCUUCAGGCUGAACACUCCUGGCUCUUUCACUAGUUCUUUAUUUGGUAGACUUUACGUAUUACUCCCCACUGUAUCUCUUCUGUGGACAAGGCAUGGAGAUCAUCAUCUCCCCAGAUGCACAGAGCAGAACAAAGACUUCAGGACAGUGUGAACAGGUCAGGGCAGGACUGUCACCUUUUCUGAUGUUGAUAUUAGAUUUCCAUUGAUAGAGCCUGAAAUUGAUGGAGAUCUUUUGAGGCUGGAUAGCACACUUUUGACUCAGCUUACACACAGAGUCAGCAAAUCCCCAUCAUCAUUUUUUUUUUCUGACAUUAGCAAUGGAAAGUCUCCAUGAAAAUGAUCUUUGUGAUAAUUAGGAACAUCUCCAUGUUUCUUCCCCAUAAUUCUUAACAUCCACCCUGACAUUUCUCAUACAAUCAUGCAAGUAUCCAUCUACCCAUUCACCCACACUACUAUCUAUAUAUUCAUCCAUCCAUUCACCAACCUCACUCUCUGCCUACAUACUGUUCUACUCAGCUGCCCAUAGAUUCAUUCAUGCACUCAUUCACCCGUCCAUCCACCUACCUACAAACCAACUCAUUUACCCAUUUAUACAUUUCUAUCCACCUGUCUGAUCAUCUACUUAACUGUUCAUCCAUCCAUUCACCAUCUACCAAUAUAAACCUCCUAUCCAUCCACACAUCCAUCUCUUCAUCUACUCCCUCUCCCAGUCACUCAUACAUCUAUAUUCAUCAUCCAUCUGUCCAUCCAUCCAGUACUUACUGGGGCUCUAUUAUAUUUUAAAUCUGUGUUGAGCAUUCUGAGUGAUUCAAAACUGAGUAAAAUACAGGUGCUCAUUCUUUGGGAGCAGUUAAAGCAGAUGAUGAUGAUUACUGUAAAACAGGAACAAUGAAAAUGCUUUGGGGAUUCAGAGGAGGGAGAAGUGGUAUCUGGAUAAGGCUAUGGAUAUCUUCUUGCCAGAGUAAACUUUCGGGUUGGGCCUUAGUAGAACAACAGUAUGUGGACAUACAUAAAUGCAUUGGAAGUAAUUCCAAGUAAAAGAAGCAGCAUAUCAAAGAUACAGAGAACAGAAUUCAUGUCUUACUCCUUAUGCCCCAACUAAAGUACCAAAUACAGAGCUGGGCACACUUUAGUAACCUGAUACAUAUGCAGUGAUUCAUAUUGUUCCUUCUCUGACAGGGAUACCCCCAGUAGUUAAUCAAGAGUUUAGUCUUUCUCUUUAAGAGGAUUCUACAGUUGCCUUGCUGGAUGGCCUUGGAGAAGUAACAAAGCCUCUAUGGGAUUCUCUGAGUUUGGGGUUGAAUUUCUGUCUCUAUCAGGUGGUCCUUUCCCCCUAAUUUUAAUUAUUUCUACUAUGUUCUCUGCUCUCUUCAGAGACAUCAGCAUUUCCACAUACCUUAAAUUUUAUUUUCUUUUGUUGGCACCAAUAAUCUCAAUCCCACCCCUCUUCAGCUGCCUCAGCCACAUCCCCAGGCAAGAAAUUCUGUAAUAUGGAGGAAGGGAGAAGUUCUGUGUAAAGGAAAUAGCACUGAAGUAGAAGCCAGGAGUCAUGAAUUCAAAACCAGCUUUGCCACGAGCUUGCUUUGUGACCUUAGGCAAGCCUCUUUCCCUCUGUUUUAAUCCUCCCCAUAGAAUCUAAGCACUGAACAUAGCAUUUGAGAUCCUCUCAUCCAAUAUCCUCAUCUUAUAAAUGGAAAAAACAGGCUCAUAAAGAGCAUGUGACUUGUUCUAGAUCCUAUCUGGAUUAGUGGCAAGGCCAGAACAAACUUAAGAUUUCCUGACUUUUGGCUCAAGGUUUUCUUUACCCAACCACAAUUUUUCAGUCUCCAGUCACAGCCCCUGUAUAUCUCAGGAAGAGCUUCCUCUCCCACUUCCAUUCCCCAGGAAAGAACGUGUAUCUUCCAAAUGUUUUGACUGUGUAUUAUUGACGCAUGCCUGGGUGGGGGCUGGAAAGGCACUAUUUAAGAGCAAGUAUUCCCAGCCUGACGGAGUUAAUUAUGUUCAUCAGGAAGAGAGAAGAGAAAGGAACAAUGCGCUCUGCUUAUCUACUGGGCUUUAAUCAAAUUGAGAAACGAGGAAAUCCAUCACCCAGAGGCUAAGGGAGUUGGAGAGCUUGGCUUCCGCUGGCUCUGAGAACUGUAAUGGGUUGGGCGCUGUCCAAGGUGCUGACAUCUUCACUUACUGCUCUGAGUUGCUAGGAGAGGCAGAGGGACAGCAGCUUUUAGAAGAUGGACCAGGAUAGAGUAAGAAAAGGUCUGGACCUGCUGGGGACAGGCUUGAGUUCCUAUUCUGUCUUCUGAAUCUUCUCUUUUCCAUUUAUUUGUUUAUCAUCUUUAGGAAAAAUAUCUCUUAUGGCUAGAGUCCUCGGCUGGGAUUGAAGAAAUAGGAAGAGAGGGAAGAGCCCUAGACCCUUUGCUGUCAGGGAGAUGGACCCCAGUAUGAGGGUGGAAGCCCUUUCUUGGCCUUGAGGACUUUCCCAUAUUAAAGGGAGAUGUGAGUUAUGCUUUUAUAAAAUCCUCAGUCCAAUGAUAGUUAUGAACUACCUUUGAGAAUUUGUUAAAGUGGUGGAGGAACAUCACUGUGUCUUUAACUCUAACUCAAGUAUGAUAUAAGGGAGGCAUGGACCAUGUCUACAUGGAGCGUCCAGUCUUAUGAGGAAGACCUGGUCUUCCUCUGGAAAAUCUCAGUUCAGCUGAGGAGACAUGUUCUUGAUUUAGAGGGAAACCUCAGUUAUAAUCAGGGAGACAGGAUGGACAGAGACAUUAAAAUGUGCACAAUAACCUACCAAAGAACUCAGAUCUUCACACUUCUGAUUGAGGUUUUUGGUGCUAGAUAUUUUGUGUUAAUAAAGGAAAAUUUGCUGGUAGAGGUGAGCUUGAGCUGAACUUAAAGGAAAGCAAGAGACUUGGGUCUCUAAAUCUUAGGCCUCCUGAGAGUCAUGACCAUGCCAUAUCCCCUUUAGAGUAAGUACAAGUCUUGGCACAGAGCAGAUCCUUGUUCAAUGUAUAAUUUCCAGCAGAUAGAGAGUGAAUGUACUUCCUCAGUGUUUGGGGAGAUAGCAGAGUGAGGAUGGUGUAGAGAUCAAGGAGGAGGGUUGGUUGGAAUGAAGAGCCCGAGGCUAGGGUGGGGGGAUAGUGGUGGAGUGAUAAGAUGGACACAGGGAGUAGCCCAAUGUAUGUCCAGGUCACUGAAGUACAGCAUUUGGAACAACUCCUUCAUAUUUCUGGAGCUUCUGAGAGACACUUUAUUGAAUCUUGGACUGUUAAAACUAGAGACUAUUAAGGUACAAAAUCAUAGACUGCUCAGCUUCUAGAGCCACAUGACCAUGGAUAGUUGGAAUAUUAAAACCGUACCAACUUAGCAGGGCAGAACACAGUGUGUUGAAGUUAUAGAAAUACUAUAGAAUACUAGAGCCAAAGAACCAAAAGUCCAUAUUAGGGAAUAUUAAAAUCCAAGAAUCUCAGUGUCAAAAGGGAAAAGAAACCCCAGUUUAUCGACUCCGACUAUUUGUAUCAGUUAUGGUGCUGAGAGUAUUCUAGUAUAUUUUCCCAUUUAAUUUCUAUUAUAAGGUUUAAGCCAUUUAUUCCCAUACCUACUCAAUGGAGUACUUCUGUCAAAAGUUUAUCAAACAUAUACUUGCAUAAGUUUCAUGACAGGGGAGUCAUUAUCUGUGUGCAUACCUCUACUCCCUGCUGAAUGGCAGAUAGAAAGUUCUCUCUUAUGUAAGCUGCACUCUCUUCCUGUAGUGUCCCCACAUUGGUCCAGUUCACGUCCUCUGAGCUACACUGAGAAAGUCUAAUCUCCCACUCACAUGACAGCUUUUCAUAUGGCUAAAGACAGUCUUUAUUUCUUUCUUCUCUAGGAUAAGCUGGUUUGUUCAUCAUGUAGCUAGAAAUGGGACAGCAAAUCAAAGAAUAUCUGAGCUGGAAAGGCCCUUAGAGGUCAUUUUGUCCAGAGACUUCCUUUUACUGCUGGGUGGUACAGCAUCAUGGUCAGGAGCCUGGGUUUUAGAGAGAGAUGAGCCUGAAUUCAGAAUCCAGAGAUCCAGCACUAAUUUCAUGUGUAACCUUGGGUAAAUUACAUAAUAUGUCUGGAUCUCAGUCUCCUUAUCCAUAAAAUAGAGAGAAUAAUAAUAUUGACACACUAUAGUUGAUGUGAGCAUUGAAUGAGAUAAUGCAAGGGAAGCUCUUAGCGGAGUGCUUGGCACAGAGUAAGCAGUCAAUAAAUAUUAGCUAUAAUUAUUGGAGGUCCAGAGGGGCAGGGACUUGCUCAAGAUCACAGGGCAACUCAGAGGCAGAGCUAGGGUUAGACCAAGGCCGCCUGCCUCCAAGGCCAAGUCACUUUCCCAUUUACAUUUCCACUCUAUCUGCCUUGGGAAAAGGAAAUAACUCCAGAGGGAAUUGGAAUACUUUGUUCACUGAAUCAGUUAGAAUGCAAGUAAGAGAAUACCUGAUUUAGAGGCUUAAACCUUUUGUUUCCUUAACAAGGGUGGGGGGGAAGGUAGGUCCAGGUUUGUCUGGUGACUCAACCAUGUUUAAUGAUCAAGGCUUUUCCAAUUCUAAGCUCUGAGAGGGACUCCUCUGUGAUCACAAAAUGGCUGAUAUGGCACCAAGCACCAUGUCCUCCCAAGCAGGAAGAAAGGGAAUGGGAGCAUAAAAGUUCUUCUUCUCUCAUGCCUGUGUCAUCCAGGAGGAGAUUUUUCCAAGCGGAUCAUCCCCUUACAUCUUAUUGACCAAAAUGAAGCCACAUGUCUACUCUUAGACUACUCACUGGUGAAGAGGAAGGCAUUUCCAUGAAUGGUUUGGAUUAUCCCUGUGGCUAGGUACCUUGCUCCUAAAACAAGGAAAGGGAAUUGGCUAUAGGAAGGCAACCAGUAGUUCUUGCCAUACUUAACUCUGUCUCCUCUCUGGAUUGGCCUCUCCUGUCCUUUUCACCUCUGCUAGGGAGCCUGCCCUGGUUUCCACCCUUGUCCAGCACACCCUCUUCUACCACAUAAUUGAGCAUCACCCAAUUCAAGUCUACUUUGCCAAGCUCUUUCAUCUGUUCAUGUUCAAGUCUUGUUGUCCCACGCAGUCUGUGAGCAUUGGGAAACUAACAGCAGCUACUAAUGAAUAAUUGUGUGCCAGACACUCCUCUACUAACGAAUAAUUGUGUAACCCGCUUCCAAUGGCUGGUUCCAAUGCUCCAUAUCUGCUGGUGUUUACAACUUUUGUGUUCCCCUCCCACAUUGUACCAGGGUUAGUCUGUGUGACCAAUAGAAUAUGAAAAAGUUAUGGCAUAUCACUUCCAAGAUUGUAUUAGAAAAUACACCAUGGCUUCCAUCUUGGUAGCACACAUUCUUUUGGAUCAUUCAUUCCAGGGGAAGUUAGCCACCAUGGCAAGAGUACCCUUAUGGAGAGGCUUGCGUAAAAACUAAACCCUUUGACCAACUGCCAGCAAAAAAUGGUUGCCUGACAACAACCACAGAGUGAGCCUGGAAGUGGAUCCCCGUUAAGCCUUCUGAUGACUGCAGCCCUGGCUGACACUUGACUGCAACCUCAUGAGAGAUCCUGAGCCACAAUCUCACAGUCAGUCCACUUCUGGGUUCUCAAUCCUCAGAAAUUGUGU